GAUGAGCGCUGGCGGCGUGCCUAAUACAUGCAAGUCGAGCGAGUGGAUUAAGAGCUUGCUCUUAUGAAGUUAGCGGCGGACGGGUGAGUAACACGUGGGUAACCUGCCCAUAAGACUGGGAUAACUCCGGGAAACCGGGGCUAAUACCGGAUAACAUUCUGAACCGCAUGGUUCGAAAUUGAAAGGCGGCUUCGGCUGUCACUUAUGGAUGGACCCGCGUCGCAUUAGCUAGUUGGUGAGGUAACGGCUCACCAAGGCAACGAUGCGUAGCCGACCUGGGAGGGUGAUCGGCCACACUGGGACUGAGACACGGCCCAGACUCCUACGGGAGGCAGCAGUAGGGAAUCUUCCGCAAUGGACGAAAGUCUGACGGAGCAACGCCGCGUGAGUGAUGAAGGCUUUCGGGUCGUAAAACUCUGUUGUUAGGGAAGAACAAGUGCUAGUUGAAUAAGCUGGCACCUUGACGGUACCUAACCAGAAAGCCACGGCUAACUACGUGCCAGCCGCCGCAGUAA
This 515-nucleotide ribosomal RNA is filed under the name uncultured bacterium. RNAcentral describes it as "partial 16S ribosomal RNA". It matches the Rfam family "Bacterial small subunit ribosomal RNA", at positions 28 to 523 of the family's 1533-position model. The record is from RNAcentral.